CCGCUCAACAGCCACAGGAGCAAGUGUGGGUUCUACUGCUGAUGUGUGUGUAAGACAAGGCUCAAGAUCAAUAGUUCCACCUCCUUUCUUGACAAUGCAGCAGCGCUCAACACGGUAACUGCAGCCAAUUCCAGCUCCCCAUGCACGGGAACGAACAUUAUUUCUCAGCAUAGAAGUGUAACUGUCUUGUGGAGGCAACACUCGUAUGGUAGCACAUAACUCUUGGAUAGCAGGUGGAGGUGGAGAAGCAGUGGGGCGGCAGUAACCUGUAUGCAUGAGAACAGCAACAAGAUCAGAAUCAUCUGUGUAUAUAUCUGUCCCCCAUAGCUGGCCACCUCUUACUUGCCGAUUUGUAGCAGUAACAUGCUCUGAUGGUAUCCUAAUUUCAAGAGUGGGACCAUUAUGAGUACCUUCACCAUUUUUUUCAGUCUGGGAUGACUCAUACUCCUUCCACAACUUUAUCAAGUCUUGCAUGCAUUCACCAACUUUAUAAACAACAGAGGAUACCUCUGAUUUUCCUUGAGAUCCUUCAUUGUCCUGGGUACGAGACCUAAAACGGGGUUCACGAUUUGCCACUUGAGGGCUGCCCCUAGGCCGAAGCAUCCUCUUACGUUGCUGAACUCCAUAGUUAAAAACUUCCCUUUCCCUUUCUGUGGCACCUUCACCAUCCACACAUCCAUCAUCUGAUUCUUUGUCAUACAACCUGCUGCGCUUCUCAGGUUUAUCCCCUUCCAUGUCAGGGUCUCUUUCUUUCCUCCUGUCUCUAGCUUCUCUAUCAACAUUUUUCCAGCUAUCAAAAUCUUUCGGUUUUUUUCUGCUCCAAAACUGGAUUUUCUUGUUCUGUCACUCUAACAGAUCCAUCCCCUAACUCUUUCUCACUGUGCAAACUCUCUUUCUCAACUCCAUUCCAUGAUUCUCUCUUGGUAAGGUCUUUUUCUCUCUCCCUUUGCCUUUCUCUGUCCUUGGAAAGAUCUUUCCUCUCCCUCUCCCACCUCUCUGCUUCUCUCUCUUCCCUUGCUGAUUCUUUGCCCUCACCACUGUUAUUACCUACUUGAAUAUUGCUCCUCCGAUCAAUUCUUUCUUUGUCCCUGUCUCCCCCCCAUUCCCGGUGUUUCACAUCUUUCCUUUUCCUGUCCUUAUCUUUAAAUUUAUCAUCACCUUUUAAAUCAACUCUAUUCUCACCAACAGCCUCAUGUGUUUCAGGAUAAUCCUUUUCUUCAAUGGUUGAGCCUUCCUUUCCAAUCUCAACUGCACCUUGGGAGUUACCGCGCGACAUAUGCCAAGGAUCCACAUGUCCACCAGGGGAAUCAGAAUAUCUCUUUCCCCUGUGGUAUUCUUUUGAUUCCUUCCAAUUCAAUUGACUAGUUGCUACGCUAAAUCCAUCCUUUUCCAUCUUCAUGUCAUUCUUUGGAUCAUUAUAAGUGUCCUUGUCAUAUUUUAUUUCUUUAUUAUCAUCUGCUCUAUUCUCAAACCUCGAAUCCUUAUCAAUCUUGGUACUUAGGGAAUCCCUCUUUGGCUCGAUGUGCAUGUCUCUUGCUUCAGUCCUCAAAUCUCGACUUUCAACCCUGUAGUCUCUGCUGUCCUUGGAAUCUCUUGAUUCCAGCCUGAUUUCAGAAGCAACUGAAUGAGUAUCCACAUGCAAAUCAUUGGAGCUCGAUGGCACUCUAUAUAUUGAGUGUAAAGGUGAUCUUCUAUCUCCAUCACGAGAUUCAGUACGAGGAAUUUUUGUAAUUCGGGCAUCUGCAGCUAUCUCAUAGGAAGAAGGAUGGUAGUCGCUUGAAACCCCUGAUGCCAGCUUAGGGUAUGCACCUGUUUCUUCAUGUGGGUAUUUUGAAGAAGAAGAUGAGUGAACACUCUCUUCGUGAGAUCUUUUAGGAGCACUACUCAUUGCUAUUUGUAUUCUACAAUAAAUGGAUCAUUUCCC
This 1924-nucleotide unclassified non-coding RNA is filed under the name Hevea brasiliensis (rubber tree). Lineage: Eukaryota; Viridiplantae; Streptophyta; Magnoliopsida; Malpighiales; Euphorbiaceae. The record is from RNAcentral.